RNAcentral lists this ribosomal RNA (253 nucleotides) under uncultured bacterium. RNAcentral describes it as "partial 16S ribosomal RNA". It matches the Rfam family "Bacterial small subunit ribosomal RNA", at positions 524 to 776 of the family's 1533-position model. The record is from RNAcentral.
UACGUAGGGCGCAAGCGUUGUCCGGAAUUAUUGGGCGUAAAGAGCUCGUAGGUGGUUUGUCGCGUCUGGUGUGAAAACCCAAGGCUCAACCUUGGGCUUGCAUUGGGUACGGGCAGACUAGAGUGCGGUAGGGGAGACUGGAAUUCCUGGUGUAGCGGUGGAAUGCGCAGAUAUCAGGAGGAACACCGAUGGCGAAGGCAGGUCUCUGGGCCAUUACUGACACUGAGAAGCGAAAGCAUGGGGAGCGAACAGG